This 496-nucleotide ribosomal RNA is filed under the name uncultured bacterium. RNAcentral describes it as "partial 16S ribosomal RNA". It matches the Rfam family "Bacterial small subunit ribosomal RNA", at positions 28 to 506 of the family's 1533-position model. The record is from RNAcentral.
GAUGAACGCUGGCGGCGUGCCUAAUACAUGCAAGUCGAGCGAACGGACGAGAAGCUUGCUUCUCUGAUGUUAGCGGCGGACGGGUGAGUAACACGUGGAUAACCUACCUAUAAGACUGGGAUCACUUCGGGAAACCGGAGCUAAUACCGGAUAAUAUUUUGAACCGCAUGGUUCAAAAGUGAAAGACGGUCUUGCUGUCACUUAUAGAUGGAUCCGCGCUGCAUUAGCUAGUUGGUAAGGUAACGGCUUACCAAGGCAACGAUGCAUAGCCGACCUGAGAGGGUGACCGGCCACACAGGAACUGAGAACCGGCCCAGACACCUACGAGAGGCAGCAGCUCAGAAUUUUGCGCUGGAGGCGACAGCCAGACGGAGCAUCGACGCGUGAGUGAUGAACGGCUUCGGAGGGUAAACCUCUGUUACUAGGGAAGAACAUAUGUGUAAGUAACUGUGAACAUCUUGGCGGCACCGAAUCAGAAUACAACGGCAAACUCCGU